UUCUUCUAAACGUUGAACCUUUAAGAAAAGAAAGAAGAACAAGAAGAACAAGAAAAGGGUGCAAAGUACUGGGGCACCCAAGCCCAGUCAGACCAAAAAAUCCAAAUCUGACCAGAGUCAAGCAGAAUGCUUUUACUGUAAGAAGCAGGGGCACUGAAAAAUGAAUUGUCCUCAAUACAUUGUCUCCUUAGAUCCGAAUAGGUCGAGAAAGAAGUAAGUUGUUGCUGGAUAAAGUAAUUAUAUGAUAACACCUUGUAAUUUCUCAAUUUGUAAUUCUAUUACCUGGAUAU
RNAcentral lists this long non-coding RNA (290 nucleotides) under Elaeis guineensis (African oil palm). RNAcentral's name for it is "long non-coding RNA (EGUI_LNC082673)". Lineage: Eukaryota; Viridiplantae; Streptophyta; Magnoliopsida; Arecales; Arecaceae. The record is from RNAcentral.